CAAAUAUAAUCAUAAGUUGUUCGUUUAUAUGAAGUCUUCUUUAUUUCUCUAAAGCAUGAUGUAAACACAAUCACAUCCCCAAUUUCCUUGACCCGCAUAGCACAGCACCUUCAAAGAUGAUAAAACCAACCCAAAGCCCGUGUACCACCCAACUUUCCAUGUUCAUCUCUACAAUAUGCUAUUGUCGUUUUCUCUCUCGCGAAUUGACAAUGAUAAUUACUUUAGCGUCCUCAAUAUGGCCUUUUCCUUCCUAGUAACCCAUAAUUGCAUACAAACGAACAAAUCCUAUGAGCGUACCCAUUGAGACUUCUUGCUUUUGUCCGCAUGCCGAUUGUUAGGAACGAGAUGGGAUAAAAAUAAAAUGAAAUAAAUAAAUAAAUAUACAGAGAGCAUAAAAUUUAUUUGAGAUUGGACCAUAGAUGUCAUAAUAGCGUAAGUACAAUAACCUAUCCUCCAUUCAAGAUUAGCCAACCAGAACAUGGUAAUCUUUACAUCCACAGACUGAAUGGAUUAUUGCAUGCAUAUCAGUAAUAUAUGUUCUCAGGCAACCCCUCGGCACCACAAUAGUUGGUCUGGAUACCUAAAUCCAUAUAUCGGAAGUGCAGUCACCGCCUGGAUAUCUCAUCUCAUGGGCGAGGGAAGGACCAUCAGGUUCACCUGCAAAGUCCACGAAAAAGUUUGGGUUUACUUUGAGACCACCUCGCACAGUGUCAACAUCAAUCUGUAACAUGUGGGAUCCUUUCUCUACAAGUUCAGGAUAAAACUGACGAUCCCAAGCGCUGAAGAGUGAGUUGGUGACAUAGAGCCUCUUCCCAUCUAAACUUAGUUGGAUCAUCUGAGGUCCUCCUCUCAAUCUAUUACCCUGAAGAAAAAAAGGAAAAAAAAUUGAUGCUCAUCAAUCUCUACCAGAUAUAGAGGGGCCUCAGGCAGAUAUGGAUAUCACUCUUAAGUACCAUGAAAAAUUAAGAAAAUGAUUUAUAUAAAUACAAAUUAUGAUCCUGGUUAAUGUAAUCGUGCACUGGAAACAGUAGAGCACAAUUCUUUUGCUUCCCAGUUACACAAAAGAACAUAUACUCAGCACAAGAGACGCAUAAACACAUGCAGUUGCAAACACAUGAUGCUGCCACAUGCAAUUGCAUGUAAACAACUGAAGGACCUACAUAACGUUUAUACUUUGGCAUCAAAAUUCGUUGGUAUGGAAGAGUAUUCAAACUGGAAAGGUAGAACUAUUUGGUCACAAACUACGCAUUUCAGGCAUCAUAAUAUAGUGCCAAUAAGAAUUCCAAGCAUUAACUACUCCACAAUCAGUGAGUGGUAUGUCACAUUCAUGGCAUGGACACACCAGUACUAAAAUCCAUCCAAAACCAAAAUACCUUCUUAAAGCAUUAUUAUAUGCAACAGCAGUCAAAUUUUUUACAGGAGCUGAAGUUCUUAGUAAAUCAAUUACGAUUGGGAGGAUAUUUGUUCCCUGGAGACACAGUAAAUUUAUACAAACCUGGAUCUCAGGAACAUCCGGCUGCCAAGUUUCUCCAUCUUCUUUCUCCACCGCUAUAGGGCUUCCUUUCUGAAUCACGCCGCCAACCCAAACUUGGCCUGUCAAGACUGGAUUUUUGAUGUCCUCAAUGUUAUACUGUCUGACAUCUCCAUGCAGCCAAUUGACAAAAUAAAGAAACCGAUCAUCAAGAGAGAUCAGAAAGUCAGUUAUGAGGCCUGGCAUUUCCGGAAGAAUCCAGUUUUUCACCUUCAAGGGUUUCACUGAUAUUGCCAGCUCAUGGCUCCAUGAUCCACCUGGGGUCUUGAAAAAUCGCACCAUGUUACCGGUCAAAGCACACCCAACAAACCCUGUAUCUUUAGAAGGAUCAUGAAGGAACCUUAUCUCCAAGGGUAUGAGCCCAGUGUUACCAAGAUCCAAUGUCUGUUUCAGUUCGCCAUUUGGCCAGCUAUAGACAUACAAAUGCCUCCCGUAAAGACCAUCUGAAACGUGCUGCAGAUUAAACCCUUUAGUGAAGGCUGCAGGAGCUCCCCAUGAUGAGCUGAUCAUUGUGUUGUGUCGGGGUUGGUACCAGAAAUCAUAACCAAACGGUGGACUAUGCCCUGGUUUCUCCCACCUUCCUUUCACGUUGAAUUCUGAGUCGAGAAGAAGAAAUCCACUUCCUUCUGCAUUUCCAUCUUUAUCUCCUAGGCAGGAGACCAUUAUAUCUCCAGAAGCAAGGCAAUGGGCAGUGUGUGGAUAGGCUAAUCCCGUCUUCUGUACAAUAUCUGCCGGUUCAACAACUUUGUGCAGUGAUGGAGCCUUUGGAUCUUUUUGGGUGUCAACAACAUAGAUGCGACCAGAUAUCAAUGAAGGCAGGAUUAGGAAACGCCUGUUUGCAGAUGGUUCUCCAUGGCAAGAGCUGCAAGCAUUCCACCCUGAAUGAUGCAGUUCAUCUCCUACAUAUGGCACAGGUAGCCUACUGAUAACUUUAGAAUAAGCAGGUGAGUUUGGAUCUACAUCCACUGUGGCUAGAUAAUCAGGCUUCUCUCUUCCCGUUCCAGUGUAGACACAAGUAACAUAGAUAAGAGACUCCCUAGGACCAGCCAUAGCCUCAAGUGGAGUGGCAUAACCAGGUCCCUUGUUGCAGCAUCCAUGACGAUUAUUCAAGCUAACAACAUCUGCAGCCAUUUCUGCUUUCUCUCUUAGAAAGAUAGCAAUUGGAACACUAUUGCAAAAGAUAAGCUCCUGCUACUUUUAUAGCCUGAGAAUGGGAGAAGAUACAUAUUUGUAUAAUGUCGUCUUUGCUGGCUUCGUGGGAAUAUGUCCAG
Molecule: unclassified non-coding RNA, 2802 nt
Filed under: Hevea brasiliensis (rubber tree)
Lineage: Eukaryota; Viridiplantae; Streptophyta; Magnoliopsida; Malpighiales; Euphorbiaceae
Source: RNAcentral